This 83-nucleotide transfer RNA is filed under the name Schistocephalus solidus. It matches the Rfam family "tRNA". From Rfam's summary of the family: Transfer RNA (tRNA) molecules are approximately 80 nucleotides in length. Lineage: Eukaryota; Metazoa; Platyhelminthes; Cestoda; Diphyllobothriidea; Diphyllobothriidae. The record is from Rfam by way of RNAcentral.
GGCUUCGUAGCUCAGUUGGCUAGAGCGUUGGCUUUACGAAAGCCUUCAUCUUGCUGGUGUGGGUUCGCACACCACCGAGGCUA